This 253-nucleotide ribosomal RNA is filed under the name uncultured bacterium. Its description in RNAcentral is "partial 16S ribosomal RNA". It matches the Rfam family "Bacterial small subunit ribosomal RNA", at positions 524 to 776 of the family's 1533-position model. The record is from RNAcentral.
UACGUAGGGGGCAAGCGUUGUCCGGAUUUAUUGGGCGUAAAGAGCGUGUAGGCGGCCAGGUAGGUCCGUUGUGAAAACUCGAGGCUCAACCUCGAGACGUCGGUGGAAACCCUUUGGCUAGAGUCCGGAAGAGGAGAGUGGAAUUCCUGGUGUAGCGGUGAAAUGCGCAGAUAUCGGGAGGAACACCAGCGGCGAAGGCGGCACUCUGGGCUGGUACUGACGCUGAGGCGCGAAAGCGUGGGGAGCAAACAGG